Molecule: ribosomal RNA, 1370 nt
Filed under: uncultured bacterium
Lineage: Bacteria
Description: bacterial SSU rRNA
Rfam family: Bacterial small subunit ribosomal RNA
Source: RNAcentral
GAUGAACGCUGGCGGCGUGCCUAAUACAUGCAAGUCGAGCGAACGGACGAGAAGCUUGCUUUUCUGAUGUUAGCGGCGGACGGGUGAGUAACACGUGGAUAACCUACCUAUAAGACUGGGAUAACUUCGGGAAACCGGAGCUAAUACCGGAUAAUAUUUUGAACCGCAUGGUUCAAAAGUGAAAGACGGUCUUGCUGUCACUUAUAGAUGGACCCGCGCUGCAUUAGCUAGUUGGUAAGGUAACGGCUUACCAAGGCAACGAUGCAUAGCCGACCUGAGAGGGUGGUCGGCCACACUGGAACUGAGACACGGUCCAGACUCCUACGGGAGGCAGCAGUAGGGAAUCUUCCGCAAUGGGCGAAAGCCUGACGGAGCAACGCCGCGUGAGUGAUGAAGGUCUUCGGAUCGUAAAACUCUGUUAUUAGGGAAGAACAUAUGUGUAAGUAACUGUGCACAUCUUGACGGUACCUAAUCAGAAAGCCACGGCUAACUACGUGCCAGCAGCCGCGGUAAUACGUAGGUGGCAAGCGUUAUCCGGAAUUAUUGGGCGUAAAGCGCGCGUAGCGGUUUUUUAGUCUGAUGUGAAAGCCCACGGCUCAACCGUGGAGGGUCAUUGGAAACUGGAAAACUUGAGUGCAGAAGAGGAAAGUGGAAUUCCAUGUGUAGCGGUGAAAUGCGCAGAGAUAUGGAGGAACACCAGUGGCGAAGGCGACUUUCUGGUCUGUAACUGACGCUGAUGUGCGAAAGCGUGGGGAUCAAACAGGAUUAGAUACCCUGGUAGUCCACGCCGUAAACGAUGAGUGCUAAGUGUUAGGGGGUUUCCGCCCCUUAGUGCUGCAGCUAACGCAUUAAGCACUCCGCCUGGGGAGUACGACCGCAAGGUUGAAACUCAAAGGAAUUGACGGGGACCCGCACAAGCGGUGGAGCAUGUGGUUUAAUUCGAAGCAACGCGAAGAACCUUACCAAAUCUUGACAUCCUUUGACAACUCUAGAGAUAGAGCCUUCCCCUUCGGGGGACAAAGUGACAGGUGGUGCAUGGUUGUCGUCAGCUCGUGUCGUGAGAUGUUGGGUUAAGUCCCGCAACGAGCGCAACCCUUAAGCUUAGUUGCCAUCAUUAAGUUGGGCACUCUAAGUUGACUGCCGGUGACAAACCGGAGGAAGGUGGGGAUGACGUCAAAUCAUCAUGCCCCUUAUGAUUUGGGCUACACACGUGCUACAAUGGACAAUACAAAGGGCAGCGAAACCGCGAGGUCAAGCAAAUCCCAUAAAGUUGUUCUCAGUUCGGAUUGUAGUCUGCAACUCGACUACAUGAAGCUGGAAUCGCUAGUAAUCGUAGAUCAGCAUGCUACGGUGAAUACGUUCCCGGGUCU